UACGUAGGAUGCUAGCGUUGUCCGGAUUUACUGGGCGUAAAGCGCGCGCAGGCGGCACUGUAAGUAAGGUGUGAAAUCUCCCUGCUCAACGGGGAGGGUGCACUUUAGACUGCAGAGCUAGAGGACGGUAGAGGGGGCUGGAAUUGCUGGUGUAGCGGUGAAAUGCGUAGAGAUCAGCAGGAACACCCGUGGCGAAGGCGGCCCCCUGGGCCGAACCUGACGCUGAGGCGCGAAGGCUAGGGGAGCGAACGGG
This 253-nucleotide ribosomal RNA is filed under the name uncultured bacterium. Its description in RNAcentral is "partial 16S ribosomal RNA". It matches the Rfam family "Bacterial small subunit ribosomal RNA", at positions 524 to 776 of the family's 1533-position model. The record is from RNAcentral.